Molecule: ribosomal RNA, 165 nt
Filed under: uncultured bacterium
Lineage: Bacteria
Description: partial 16S ribosomal RNA
Rfam family: Bacterial small subunit ribosomal RNA
Source: RNAcentral
GUAGUCAUGGGCGAGCCUGUCCAGCCAUGCCGCGUGUGUGAAGAAGGUCUUCGGAUUGUAAAGCACUUUAAGUUGGGAGGAAGGGCAGUAAGUUAAUACCUUGCUGUUUUGACGUUACCAACAGAAUAAGCACCGGCUAACUUCGUGCCAGCAGCCGCGGUAAUA